GACAGAGGGUGCAAACGUUGCUCGGAAUUACUGGGCGUAAAGCGCGUGUAGGCGGACCGAUGUGUCAGGUGUGAAAUCCCCGGGCUCAACCCGGGAACUGCACUUGAAACUGUCGGCCUUGAGUACCGGAGAGGGUGGCGGAAUUCCUGGUGUAGAGGUGAAAUUCGUAGAUAUCAGGAGGAACACCGGUGGCGAAGGCGGCCACCUGGACGGUUACUGACGCUGAGACGCGAAAGCGUGGGGAGCAAACAGG
This 253-nucleotide ribosomal RNA is filed under the name uncultured bacterium. Its description in RNAcentral is "partial 16S ribosomal RNA". It matches the Rfam family "Bacterial small subunit ribosomal RNA", at positions 524 to 776 of the family's 1533-position model. The record is from RNAcentral.